CUGAUUAGAGAUCUUCUCAGGUCAACAUUUCUGUAUUAUUAAUUCUUUAUUCUAAUAAUUUGGGAUACUGGAUUUUUAAUUUUACAUGUGCUGUAAGCCGUAAUCAAGAUUAAAACAAAAACAAAGGCUUGAAAUAUUUAAAUUUGUGUAAUGAAUCUAGAAUAUAUGAAAGUUCCAUUAAAAAAAAAAUUAAAUUACAGAAAAAAAAACCCCCAAACAUUUCCACAAUAUUCUCAUUUAUAAUGAUUGUCAUCUAGUGACACAUUUCAUUAAGUCAAGUAUAUACAGGUGCAUCUCAAAAAAUUAGAUCACUAUAGGGUGGCAGAUAGGUGCUGCAUGUCCCAUUGCUGCUUCACAGCCCCAGGAUUUCUGGUUUGGUCCUAUGCUCAAGUUACUGUGUGGCAUUUCACGUUCUCCCUUUGCCUGCAUGGGUUUCUUCCCACCCCCCCAAAAACCAUGCCAGUAGGCUAAUUGGUUAUUCCAACCGAGGUGUGUUCCCUGACCAGGAUAAAGCAGUUACAGAUGACGAAUGUAGGAAUCUCAAUAUAAAUAACAAAAUGCUGCAUAUAAGUAACCUGAACAGUUGUGACUAUACCAUAGUUGUUGCAUAAGAAUAACUAACUGUACAUACAUUACAAUGAGUCAUAGCUCAGGUCCUUUUGAGCUGAAGCUAUAGAAGUUGUGGUAAGAAAAGCAAAAGGUUUAAGCAAUAACGAAACAUUAAUUUAAACUAGAAAAACUGUAUAAUAAUAAACAAAAACAUCAGUAAAAGUUCAGACACAAAGGGUGUGAAUCUUUUCAGUUUAAUCAGACAAACAACCCGACCAAAGAAACUACAAAAUGACUUCGCGUUGUAUGCACGUUGCUAUACUUCUGUGGAGACAGUAGCAUGAAAAUUUUAACUUCCAUCACAAUUUAAAUAAACCUCAACAGAAAACAUUCAGAAAUAACACUCCUCUAGACAUCUAAUGAAAUCCUCACUCUACAAUUCCAGUGAAAACCAUAACUUAAAUGACAGAAAAAGAAAAGAAAAGAAAAAAAAAAAAUCAGCUUUUAAUUCAACUGAAGGCUGCUUCAUAGAAUUACUUAAUUUGUUUUUAGACUUAUGUUUGGUCAUGGUGGCAAGUUCUACAUGGCUCCACUUAUUAGGAUUUCAAAUUUCACAUUGCGAAACAGAACUUGGAAGUAGAAAAAGGCAAAAACUGUACAAUUUCUUACUAUUAAAUACAAUCACUCUGUACCAAUAAUGACAAACAUCCCACAGGUAAGUUUUUCAGAGUACAUUUAAACAAACAGCAGCUUAAAAUCUAGAUAUAAAAUGCCAAAAUUUGCAACGUUAAUCCCAAUUCGCCAACAAUAGGUCUUUUUUUUUUUGCUAGCAAUCUACUGUUGAAAUAAAAGCUACUGAAAACAGGGUGCCAAAUUUUCAAAAGAGGGCAAUUUGAGAUUAUA
Long non-coding RNA from Ictalurus punctatus (channel catfish), 1452 nucleotides. The record is from Ensembl. NCBI's taxonomy places the organism in Eukaryota, Metazoa, Chordata, Actinopteri, Siluriformes, Ictaluridae.